UACGAAGGGGGCUAGCGUUGUUCGGAAUCACUGGGCGUAAAGCGCACGUAGGCGGAUCUUUAAGUCAGGGGUGAAAUCCCGAGGCUCAACCUCGGAACUGCCUUUGAUACUGGGGAUCUCGAGUCCGGGAGAGGUGAGUGGAACUGCGAGUGUAGAGGUGAAAUUCGUAGAUAUUCGCAAGAACACCAGUGGCGAAGGCGGCUCACUGGCCCGAAACUGACGCUGAGGUGCGAAAGCGUGGGGAGCAAACAGG
Molecule: ribosomal RNA, 253 nt
Filed under: uncultured bacterium
Lineage: Bacteria
Description: partial 16S ribosomal RNA
Rfam family: Bacterial small subunit ribosomal RNA
Source: RNAcentral